CUGCAUUUAUCUUUCUGCUCCAUUUUAGUCUAAUCUGCAACGAGCCCGCCUUGCUCUUGCAGUGCGUGUCACAUGAAGAGGAGCGGCUGUCGGGAGCCAUCAGAGCGGAGGGCAGGGGCGGCGGAGGGCAGGGGCGGUGGCGGGCCAACUGAGGGGGCAGAGCCAGAGGCCACUGGCCACUGGGCAACAGUGUCCCUGAGAUGGGCGCAGGUUCCCCGAGACCGACAGGAAGCCGCGCAUGAGCCCGAGAGUCCCCCCAAAUGUCGCGGAACACACGUGGCAGACUAGACCGCAAACGUGCACGCAGGUGGAAGCCAGACGGGUGACAGCCCAGGCCCCCAGACCUAGGAGGAGCCCAAGCCAGGGGCAGUGCCCCUCCCCCAGGAAGCGCCCAGGGAGCAGGACUGUCAGCAGGCGGCCAGGGGAGAAGCCGCCUUGCCUUGGGCGGGGCUCUCACACUUUAGCUGCUCAGAACACCCCGAGGGCUUGUUAGACACAGAUGGCCGGGCUCACACGGAGCUUCUGAUCUGCUAGAGCUGGGCGGGCGGAGAACCGGCAUCGCUAGCGAGUCUCCAGGUGACGCUGAUGUUCCUAGACUUGGAGGCCUGCCUGCGGCAGUUAGGACUUCCCGCUCCUCCUGCCCGGGCCUCAGCUUUCUUACAGACCGCAGUGUAGGGUGAGGCUCCGGAAGAGAGUUGGGAUGGGACUGGGGGACGGUCCCUCCGCUGCUCCCACUCUCUGGCGGGUUGCUCAGCCCCGUUCCAGGGAGCCACCGCCCUGAGGUCCGCAGCCGCACGCACAACUGCUUUUCCCCAGGGGUGCGUUCUUGGGGUUGGGGAAAGCAGGGGGGCUUCCUUCACCCACACUUGUGCUCCUCCCUUCCUGCAGCGCCCGGCUAGACACCCGACACCCCACAGAGCUCCUGCCCGAUGAGUUUGGGGGUCGUCACAGCCAUGCUUCAGCCAGCCCUGCCAAUGGCCUGGGGCUGGCCCGCUGUGGUUUAGCCUGUCCUCCAUCCCGUGAUCCGGAAGCUCUGCAGUGGGGAGAGGCGGGGCAGGGCCUGUGCUGAUGGUGGAAAACUGGAGUCACCUCGCCUUUCUGCUCAGAAGGUCUGCAGUUGCUGCCUUUCUCGGCUGGCCCACCUGGCACGGAGAAGCAGGUGCUGUUCCCUUAAAUGAGCACCCAGGGCCCUGUGGGAGCCUGUAGAGCCCUGUGACACUCUGGCAUCUCCACCUCCACCGCCACCCAGAACUUCCCAAAGAGCCCCGUGCUGGUCGGUAGCAACCGAAAGACUUGUAAAUGUGCCUGCAGUUGGAAAGGGACAGUUCCCAACCCCCCGGGACCGCUUGCUGCCUCGGAUCUGUUUCCUACCUCCACUUCCCUCGGACGUCUCCGUUACAAAUGGGAAACAGAGAGGCGGUUUGGGAGCCGCCAGCCCCUGGGGACAGGGAAAAAUCGGGCAAGCCUGAGGAUGCAGCUCUGCCUCCCAGGCCCCCGUGCCUGGUUCCUCACGCACUGCUGCAUCUCAGCCACUGUGGGGCUCGCGGCUGCUUGAGCCCCUGCACCUGAAUCCCUUCUUCUGGGGUCAAAGGUCAGCGAUGGGGAUUCCAUCUGUCUUUCAACUGAACUCCCGGGUCCUGAACCGUUCGGCUACACCGGAGCAGUCAGGUGGGGUGGGGAAAGGAAGGCGGCUCGUGAUGUCUUUUCUCCUGCAAAGACAGGUUCACAGUGGCAGAAGAGAUUCCCCUAUUUUUUGUAGAAUGGCGAUAAUGGCUAACAUGGAUCGAGCACUUACCGCAUGCUAGCCACGGUGUAGGGGUCCCAUGGGCGUCACUUUAGCUCACCCACAGCGGCCUUACGAAGUGAGUACGAUUAUCCCCAUUUUACACAUUCCGAUAACAGAGCUCGGGAGAGGUCAAAUGAUUUAUGCAAAGCCACACAGCUAGCAGGCGGCAGAAUCAGGAUUCAAAUGCUGUCUGACUCCAAGGGCUCGACCACUCCACUGUAUUCAAAUUUAUAUAGUUUCAAAGUCUGUCCGAAGUUUCCCGACAGCACGGGACUUCUGAGGUCUGUGUGCACCGGAGCUCCCCGUGCGGCCACUUUUAUUUUGAGAGGCUGCCCUCCUUUUUUUCUUUUUUUCUUUUUUAAAUCUGGGAUAAUUUGCGACUUUAUUGUCAGGACUUUGAUUGUGAAACCUCUUGAACCAUGCUCUCUUGAGAACCCAGCUGGUGCUUCCUUCCUUGAAAUUCCGAAACACGCUUUUACAGGCCUGGCUACGGCCCUCGCCUUUCAUUCCCUGGAUCCCGUCAACGCUACAACCCGCAGUGGCCUCCUCUGGAGGCUCUGUCGCUGCCCUCGCCACUCAGUUCUCUGCCGGUCAGGAUGAAGUCCGGAACGGCUUUUGCCCGUGGCCUUCCUCUGCUUCCGAGCUCAGGUGGCAGCUGGGCAAGUCAGGAGCUCAUCAGAGGCUCGACGCUGAGCCGAGCCGUGCGCCAAGCAAGUGCCUGGAUGACAGAAGUCCCCACCACGGCUUCGCCUGGCUGCCAGGCCGAUUUUACAGCCUCAGUUGGAACACGUGGCCCUGUGGUCCCCCCUUUCUUGCUACGUGGCCUGUACCAUUCUCAUACCACAGCACCCUCCUCCUGAGCCGUCCUCCUUUUACCCACACCCAACCAAAGCCUGGUUCUGCCUUGCUGGCCGUCCACGGCCCUGUUAGUCACGAACCGGUCACCCACCCUCCAUCUCCAAUGCAGACGCCAAUUCCUUGCGCUCCUUUGGGUUCCUUUUUUCACAGCCCCAAGCCAAGAACCCAGAGCGGCCCUCUGCCUGUGGUGGAAAUUCCCAGUCGCCAGUUCCCCGGCCCCCACCCCUUGAGCACCACCGCACACAGAAAGAGACCAGGUGUGUCUUGCUUCGAGAUGUCUUCGAGCUCUGAAAGAGCCUUUGUUUGAAAACGCCAGCCUCCUUUGCAACAAGAGAACACCGGGAGGUCGAGGGAGCACUCCAGAGCUAUUCCCUGUCUCCCGGUUGCCACCCUCGGGCAUCAAAAGGGCCAGGCCACCAGCCCGCCAGGAGGGAAGAACGGCCCAGGCUCCAGCUCAGCCAUAAGAGUGAUGUGUGGUCUGCCGUGGCCUGGUACUGAGCCCACGGAUAUCUACCUUCUCAUUUACUCUUGGGACCGUCUCGAUGAGUUAGGCUGAACAGCAAGGGCUCCUGUGUCUGCUCUUAGCCUUCAAUCCAAGCUUCAAGCUCUCAGCCCAUUACAACCUACAAGCGUCCUGGGGUUCGGCCGUCUCCCCGAUGUCAUCUCCACGGGUCCCCGACCCCUGAGAGCCGCAGCAGAGCCCACGCAGCCGGGCAGCACCGCUUCUCUGGCCGCCGCGUGCCCGGGGGAGGGCGGAGGAUUCAGCCAAGCGCCCUGGGAAGCCUGGUCCAGAGCCCUUCUCUUCUCCGAUCUUGGGCCGCUUAGAUUCACCCAAAUAUCACAACGAGCCCGUCCCGAAGCGCUGUGUGCACACGGGGCACGCGCCUGUGCUCGCACACACGCGACUUCGGAAUGUGCCGGGCGGCUCUGCUCCAGCCCCGGACUCUACACGCCAUCUGCCAGAAGCUAUUUUAAGCGCCUAAUAAAACUGUUUGAGAACGAAUCCUGGGGUGUUCUGCCCUUUGCUUCCCCAGAGCAAGAGGGACUGGGCUCCAGGUGGAGCUGGACUUUCCUACCAAGCAAAGAGGAGGAGGAAGAGUCAACCAACGGCUAGCGGGAGACCCCAGGGCCCCCACACACAAGCAGCACGGUGCAUCUCAGCGUCGACUGCACUGGCUAUUCCUGGGCUGAUAACACCCCAUCUGGGGGUGGGGGCUGCUAGGACCUUACUCUGAGGUUUUCACACCUGAGCACACAAGCAGAACCGCCUGGAGGGCUGUCAAAACACAUGACCGGGCCCAGGGCCCAACCUCGGAGUUCCGACCCCCUGAGUUUGGGGUGGGGCCUCAACAUCUGCGCUCCUAACGCAAAUUCUCCAGUUACUUUGGGUUCAGGGACCACACGCUGAGAGCCAGUGAUCUAACCCGGGAGCCCCUUGUGAGGCUUAAACGAGAAAAUAUGUCAAGCGCCUGGCACGCAGUGAGACCGCGGUUCUCAACCUGGGCUGUGCAUUAGAAUCGCCUGGGGAGCUUGAAACGUCCUGAUGCUCAGCCUUGCUCGCCGAUUAAAUCAGAGUCUCUGGGGGGAGAGACGCACGUUACCACUUUUUUUUUUUUUUUUAAAGCUCCCAGGUGACUGAAAUGUGCAGCCAAGGUUGAGCGUCCCUGUGCUAAGAGCUCCAUAAAUGUGAAAUGCCCUUUAUGAGCUACCCAGGCUCAUACCUCUCUGCUUCAGGGCCUCCCUCCCCUCCUCCUCCUCCCCCGGGUCCCAUCGCCUGCUCUG
This is a non-coding RNA of Microcebus murinus (gray mouse lemur), 4426 nucleotides long. The record is from RefSeq and is a predicted model, not a curated record. Lineage: Eukaryota; Metazoa; Chordata; Mammalia; Primates; Cheirogaleidae.